This 351-nucleotide unclassified non-coding RNA is filed under the name Hevea brasiliensis (rubber tree). The record is from RNAcentral. Lineage: Eukaryota; Viridiplantae; Streptophyta; Magnoliopsida; Malpighiales; Euphorbiaceae.
GUCAUCUUCGAAGAUGUCGGCUUUGAUCAGAAAGGGAGACCAGAGGAGGGAUACAGUUAAGUUGUGAGAUUGGAAGUGCCAUUUUCUGUUCUUGUAUUUUUCGUCAUGGUAGACCUCAACAGGUACUUCUGCCUUGGAAAGAAGACAAAGUAACGACUGGACGUGAUUGCGUAAAAUUGAAUCGCCAAUCAGUGCCCAAGAUUUGUUUCUCAUGGUAUCCAGAAAUUUCUGCGCAUCAAAUAGAGCUAAAUCACAAUCAUGUGGUUUCCACCUCCAGUAAAGAUAGCCCGUGUCAGGCCGUCCAUUUUUAAUACAGUUCUGAGGAGAUUCAAUGAAUGGGCAAGUCGUGUU